CAGGAGGUGACACAAAGUGACACACAGGUGACCCAAGAGGUGACAGGAGGUGACACACAGGUGACAGGAGGUGACACAGGUGACACACAGGUGACACAGGUGACAGGAGGUGACACAGGGGACACACAGGUGACACAGGAGGUGACACAGGAGGUAACACAGGUGACACACAGGUGACACAGGUGACACAGGAGGUGACAAAGUGACACAGGUGACACAGGUGACACAGGUGACAGGAGGUGACACACAGGUGACACAGGAGGUGACACACAGGUGACAUAGGUGACACAGGUGACACCCAGGUGACCCAGGUGACCCAGGUGACCCAGGUGACCCAGGUGACACAGGUGGGGACACACAGGUGACACAGGAGGUGACACAAAGUGACACCCAGGUGACACAAGGUGACAGCCAGGUGACCCCCAGGUGACACAGGUGACACAGGUGACACAGGAGGUGACACAGGAGGUGACACACACAGGUGACACAGGAGGUGACACACAGGUGACACAGGUGACAGAAGGUGACACAGGUGACAGGAGGUGACACAGGAGGUGACACACAGCUGACAGGAGGUGACACACAGGUGACACAGGUGACACAGGAGGGGACACACAGGUGACAGGAGGUGACACAGGAGGGGACACACAGGUGACACAGGUGACACAGGAGGUGACACACAGCUGACAGGAGGUGACACAGGUGACACCCAGGUGACACAGGUGACACAGGUGACACAGGAGGUGACACAGGAGGUGACACAGGUGACCCCCAGGUGACCCCAGCCCACCUCUCCUGAGGGGCAGCAAUUUGUUCUCCAGCACGUCCCGAGCGUCCGUCCCCUCAUCCAUCAGAUCCAGCUUGGUGAUCACCCCAAUGGUCCUCAGACCUGCCCAGGGGGACAAUUAACAAACCACUCAUUAAUUAAUGAACCACUCAUUAAUUAAUGAACCACUCAUUAAUUAAUAAAC
RNAcentral lists this long non-coding RNA (971 nucleotides) under Parus major (Great Tit). RNAcentral describes it as "lncRNA (ENSPMJG00000004247.1)". Lineage: Eukaryota; Metazoa; Chordata; Aves; Passeriformes; Paridae. The record is from RNAcentral.